UGGGGAAUAUUGGACAAUGGGCGAAAGCCUGAUCCAGCCAUGCCGCGUGUGUGAAGAAGGUCUUCGGAUUGUAAAGCACUUUAAGUUGGGAGGAAGGGCAGUAAGUUAAUACCUUGCUGUUUUGACGUUACCAACAGAAUAAGCACCGGCUAACUUCGUGCCAGCAGCCGCGGUAAUACGAAGGGUGCAAGCGUUAAUCGGAAUUACUGGGCGUAAAGCGCGCGUAGGUGGUUCAGCAAGUUGGAUGUGAAAUCCCCGGGCUCAACCUGGGAACUGCAUCCAAAACUACUGAGCUAGAGUACGGUAGAGGGUGGUGGAAUUUCCUGUGUAGCGGUGAAAUGCGUAGAUAUAUGGAGGAACACCGGUGGCGAAAGCGGCUCUCUGGCUUGUAACUGACGCUGAGGCUCGAAAGCGUGGGGAGCAAACAGGAUUAGAUACCCUGGUAGUCCACGCUGUAAACGAUGAGUGCUAGGUGUUAGACCCUUUCCGGGGUUUAGUGCCGUAGCUAACGCAUUAAGCACUCCGCCUGGGNGAGUACGACCGCAAGGUUG
RNAcentral lists this ribosomal RNA (551 nucleotides) under uncultured bacterium. RNAcentral's name for it is "bacterial SSU rRNA". It matches the Rfam family "Bacterial small subunit ribosomal RNA", at positions 355 to 896 of the family's 1533-position model. The record is from RNAcentral.